UAUCGCCAGAAUACGUUAGCAUGGAAUAAUACUAUAGGAUUUUGGUCCUAUUUUGUUGGUUUCUAGGAUUAAAAUAAUGAUUAAUAGGGACAAUUGGGGGCAUUCGUAUCAACACGUCAGAGGUGGAAUUCUUGGAUUGUGUUGCGACGAACUACUGCGAAAGCAUUUGCCAAGGAUGUUUUCAUUGAUCAAGAACGAAAGUAAGGGGAUCGAAGAUGAUUAGAUACCGUCGUAGUCUUUACCACAAACUAUGCCAACUAGAGAUGGGACAUCGUCUUCUUACGACUUGUUCCGCACCUUAUGAGAUAUCAAAGUCUUUGGGUUCCGGGGGGAGUAUGGUCGCAAGACUGGAACUUAAAGGAAUUGACGGAAGGGCACCACCAGGAGUGGAGCCUGCGGCUUAAUUUGACUCAACACGGGGAAACUCACCAGGUCCAGACAUAAUAAGGAUUGACAGAUUGAUAGCUCUUUCUUGAUUUUAUGGGUGGUGGUGCAUGGCCGUUCUUAGUUCGUGGAGUGAUUUGUCUGCUUAAUUGCGUUAACGAACGAGACCUUAACCUGCUAAAUAGAAUCGUAUAUCUUCGGAUAAACGACUUUCUUCUUAGAGGGACUUUGUGCGUUCAGCAUGAGGAAGUUUGAGGCUAAAACAGGUCUGUGAUGCCCUUAGAUGUUCUGGGCUGCACGCGCGCUACACUGAUGCGUUCAACGAGUGUACAACCUUGCCCGAUAGGGUUGGGUAACCUUUUGAACACGCAUCGUGAUGGGGAUAGAUUAUUGCAAUUAUUAAUCUUCAACGAGGAAUUCCUAGUAAUGAUGGUUCAUCAGACCGUCGUGAUUACGUCCCUGCCCUUUGUACACACCGCCCGUCGCUCCUACCGAUUGAGCAAUCCGGUGAAUAUUUCGGACCGACUGGCUCGGGGCAACCUGCUGCUAGUUGGAAAGUCAAGUAAACCUUAUUGCUUAGAGGAGAGGAGAAGUCGUAACAAGGUUUCCGUAG
Molecule: ribosomal RNA, 997 nt
Filed under: Amoebophrya sp.
Lineage: Eukaryota; Dinophyceae; Syndiniales; Amoebophryaceae
Description: SSU rRNA
Rfam family: Eukaryotic small subunit ribosomal RNA
Source: RNAcentral